AUAUAUAUUGGUUCAAAGCAAUCUCAUGUAUAUCCCUCAUUUUUAUUAAUUUGUUUGACUAAACAUUCAUGUUGGGCAGAGCUAAAUGGGUCUAGAUUUUGGAUUUUGAGAAAUAUUAGACUUGGUUAUCUCGCCUAAAAAUGUCGCACCAAUUACCAUUGUUUGAAUUCCUUGGUCGCCGGUGCUGAAGCUCUUCUCCCACGGUGAGAUUCCACUCGAUCCUUCGACGAUCUCAACCAACCACUUUGCCGACUUCAUCUUGUUUCCCGCAGUCAAUUUCCUAGGGCUUUCGGUUCACAUGGCUCCCAAGAGGAAACAUCCCCCAAAUAGUUCAGACACAGGUCCCAGGGAGAAACAGGAGCAAUCCACUUUGAGAUGAACCUGAUAAAAUGGUGGAAGAGCUUGGAUUUGGCUGCCUCCUCAAAUAUAAAUGCAGAAGAUCGCAGAUUGGUAUGGCCUUUUUGGAUGAUCGACAAGUUUGAUAUUCGUGAGCAUGCAUUUAUUAUAGAUGGGAUAGAGGUGAAGUUUAAUCCUAAAAUGGUGGAGAUCCUCGUUGGUUUUUGAGGUGGAGAAGUGGAAGUGGACAGUAAAGACCUAAAGGAAGAUGUUACAGUAGAUGAGCGAUUGAAUUCCCUCUGUGAAAUGACUUACAUUCAGAUGGAAAUAAGACUUUCAACCCUGAUCUUGUCCUAAAAAAAGACGUGUGUAAGCGAGGUAAAAAAUAUAUAUUUAUAUCU
Non-coding RNA from Punica granatum (pomegranate), 737 nucleotides. The record is from RefSeq and is a predicted model, not a curated record. Lineage: Eukaryota; Viridiplantae; Streptophyta; Magnoliopsida; Myrtales; Lythraceae.